CUGUAGCGUCGUGCCUAUACUCGGCCGUCAACGGCAAAGUGGGCGACCCCCUCGCGGGGGUCGGGCCGUUAAGCCUUGACGAGUAGGAGGGUCGCGGCGGUGUGCACUGAAGGGUCACGGCGUGAGCCGGCCUGGAGCCGCCGUCGGCGCAGAUCUUGGUGGUAGUAGCAAAUACUCCAGCGAGGACCUGGAGGACUGACGUGGAGAAGGGUUUCUUGUGAACAGCUGUUGCACAAGAGUCAGUCGACCCUAAGCCCUAGGAGAAAUCCCACGUUGAUGGGUCGCCGGACAAACUCAAAAAAACAAUGAAUUUGACGGCGCCCUCCUCGCGAAAGAAAGUCCGGUUCCUAUUCCGGAGGCCGCCGGCGGAACAGUUCCUCAACGGGCCCUCGCCAGAGUGCUGCUCGGGGCAACCCAAAGAGACCACCCGACGACGCCGUGGGAUCAUCCGAGAGUAUUCUUUUCUUCUUUAUCGUUCUUGUACUUUGGAAUCAUCUAGUAGGGAGAUAGGGUUUGUAACAACGCGAGCACCGCAGUUGCUGCGGUGUCCGGAUCUUCCCCUCGGAGCAUGAAAAUCCGGGAGAGGGCUAGCUGGAAAGUUCGCACCGCAUCGUACCCAUAUCCGCAGCAGGUCUCCAAGGUUAAGAGCCUCUACUCGAU
Molecule: ribosomal RNA, 660 nt
Filed under: Membracis mexicana
Lineage: Eukaryota; Metazoa; Arthropoda; Insecta; Hemiptera; Membracidae
Description: partial large subunit ribosomal RNA
Rfam family: Eukaryotic large subunit ribosomal RNA
Source: RNAcentral